GACGAACCGUGCGAACGUUGUUCGGAAUCACUGGGCUUAAAGGGCGCGUAGGCGGGCCACAAGGUCCGUGGUGAAAGCCCCCGGCUCAACCGGGGAACAGCCUCGGAUACCGGUGGCCUCGAGGGGGGUAGGGGCACGUGGAACUUCCGGUGGAGCGGUGAAAUGCGUUGAUAUCGGAAGGAACGCCGGUGGCGAAAGCGGCGUGCUGGACCCCAUUCUGACGCUGAGGCGCGAAAGCCAGGGGAGCGAACGG
Molecule: ribosomal RNA, 253 nt
Filed under: uncultured bacterium
Lineage: Bacteria
Description: partial 16S ribosomal RNA
Rfam family: Bacterial small subunit ribosomal RNA
Source: RNAcentral